AGAUCCUGGAUCCUGUUGGCAUAACUGAGAGACUGUACCAGCCCUGGAUUGAAGAUCUCCAAAUUAAGCCAUUGCUGAGACAAGGAUUCGAGUACAGGUACUUUAUUUGAGAGGUGAUCCCAGAAAGCACCACUCGGGGAGUGGGACAGUAUGACAGGAAGGACAAGGAAACCAAUAAAAGAUUAGAAAUCCAUAUUACGGACACUUGCUCAGAGUUCCAGCUUCCUGCUCAAACCCUAAGUCAAAGUGAAAUGUGGUCUAAUCCAUCCUAGUGCUUUUUUUUUAUAAUCUCAAUUUUUUGGAAAUCAAGCAAUGGGACUUCUUCAUGGCCUGGCUUGAAAAUGGAACUGGCUUGAAAAUGGAACAUGGCCUGACUUGAAAAUGCAACUCUGGAGAAGGACUUGUACUUGCCUUUGCCAAACACCAUGGCCACUAACA
Prionailurus viverrinus (fishing cat) is the source of this 438-nucleotide long non-coding RNA. RefSeq lists it as uncharacterized. The transcript is spliced from 4 exons. NCBI's taxonomy places the organism in Eukaryota, Metazoa, Chordata, Mammalia, Carnivora, Felidae. The record is from RefSeq and is a predicted model, not a curated record.